AAGGUGUUCAUGCAGAAGUCCAGUAAAGUGAAGUCGCUGUACUGUUUUAUUUUUAUUUUAAACAGUCGCCUAGAGGUCCCGCUGAGGAGAGGUGUUCAUGCAGAAGUCCAGUAAAGUGAAGUCGCUGUACUGUUUUAUUUUUAUUUUAAACAGUUCUGGGAGAAUAAAUCUGCCCCAGCUGGCAAAGAGA
Oreochromis niloticus (Nile tilapia) is the source of this 190-nucleotide long non-coding RNA. RefSeq lists it as uncharacterized. Lineage: Eukaryota; Metazoa; Chordata; Actinopteri; Cichliformes; Cichlidae. The transcript has 2 exons. The record is from RefSeq and is a predicted model, not a curated record.